UUCGACUGUUUACCAAAAACAUAGCUUUAAGAACACAUUACAAAUAGUGACGCCUGCUCAAUGAUUGCACAAUAAAAAAAACAUAACAACAAUUCAAUAGCUGCGGUAACACCUGACCGCACAAAGGUAGCACAAUAAAUAGCCUAUUAAUUCUAGGAUCGCAUGAAGGCAAAACGAAACUUUAACUGUCUCAAGAACAUAAAAUAAAAAUAGAUUGUGUGUGCAAAUCCACACUAAAACGGCAAGACGAUAAGACCCUAUGAACUUUACCCAAAAUAUUGAAAAACUAACUAUAAAAAAUUUCUAACAUAUAAAACUCAAGAUUAAGGUUUCGUUGGGGCAACGGUCUCAAAAUAAAUAAAUAAGACAUAACAAUAAAAAAAACAUAAAUAUAAGAUUUUUAAAUCACUAUAAUCCCAGAUAAGACCCAUUAAAACAAUUAAAUUAAUGAAUAAAAAAUAAAAGUUCCUUAGGGAUAACAGCGUAAUAUUGGUUAUAAAGAUCUUUUCAACCAAUGUUUGCGACCUCGAUGUUGAAUUACRA
This 543-nucleotide ribosomal RNA is filed under the name Conorete pourtalesi. RNAcentral's name for it is "partial 16S ribosomal RNA". The stretch from base 1 to 234 matches the Rfam family "Archaeal large subunit ribosomal RNA", at positions 1890 to 2146 of the family's 2987-position model. The record is from RNAcentral. Lineage: Eukaryota; Metazoa; Porifera; Hexactinellida; Sceptrulophora; Euretidae.